GUAAUUGUAGUUUAGCCAAAACAUUAGAUUGUGAUUCUAAAGAUGGGGGUUAAAACCCCUCUAUUUACC
This 69-nucleotide transfer RNA is filed under the name Monacoa grimaldii (mirrorbelly). RNAcentral describes it as "tRNA-His". It matches the Rfam family "tRNA". Rfam says of the family: Transfer RNA (tRNA) molecules are approximately 80 nucleotides in length. Their secondary structure includes four short double-helical elements and three loops (D, anti-codon, and T loops). The record is from RNAcentral. Lineage: Eukaryota; Metazoa; Chordata; Actinopteri; Argentiniformes; Opisthoproctidae.